Molecule: ribosomal RNA, 450 nt
Filed under: uncultured bacterium
Lineage: Bacteria
Description: bacterial SSU rRNA
Rfam family: Bacterial small subunit ribosomal RNA
Source: RNAcentral
UGCCAGACUCCUACGGGAGGCAGCAGUGGGGAAUAUUGGGCAAUGGGCGCAAGCCUGACCCAGCAACGCCGCGUGAAGGAAGAAGGCUUUCGGGUUGUAAACUUCUUUUAAGAGGGAAGAGUAGAAGACGGCACCUCUUGAAUAAGCCACGGCUAACUACGUGCCAGCAGCCGCGGUAAUACGUAGGUGGCAAGCGUUGUCCGGAUUUACUGGGUGUAAAGGGCGUGUAGGCGGGAAAGCAAGUCAGAUGUGAAAACCAUGGGCUCAACCUGUGGCCUGCAUUUGAAACUGUUUUUCUUGAGUACUGGAGAGGCAGACGGAAUUCCUAGUGUAGCGGUGAAAUGCGUAGAUAUUAGGAGGAACACCAGUGGCGAAGGCGGUCUGCUGGACAGCAACUGACGCUGAGGCGCGAAAGCGUGGGGAGCAAACAGGAUUAGAUACCCCGGUAUA